RNAcentral lists this ribosomal RNA (918 nucleotides) under Triticum aestivum (bread wheat). Its description in RNAcentral is "partial small subunit ribosomal RNA". Lineage: Eukaryota; Viridiplantae; Streptophyta; Magnoliopsida; Poales; Poaceae. The record is from RNAcentral.
AUGCCCGCACCUUCAACUAUUCCGGUCACCAAGAGCACGCCCUCCUGCGUGCGACCCGACAAGCACUUGCCGCCCUUCCUCAAACCUGAAUAUCUUGUACAGUUUCUCGACAAUGCCUUGUCAAUGCUGGAUAAGUUACAUGAUCACAGUGAGGCAAACCUUAAGCCAAUGCAUGUCGGUGAAGUUGGAAUUGAGAUGGCCCGUUUGGGGAAAACCUUAGCUCGUGAUGAUGAAAUCAGCUGGAUGGAGGCUGGUCUGCUACCUCCCCUGCGCAGCGGUACAUUUAAUUCAUUUGAAUCAUUCAAGCCACAAGAAGACAGCCAAACGAAUCAGCUCAUAAUUUCACAAGUUGCAAAUCUCGUUGGAAAUAUCUAUCGCGAUUUACCAGAAAAUUUGCAGAAGGAAUUGCUAAAUCAACUAAGAAGGGCCACAGAACAACCAGCAGAUAACAGUCGACAGGCGAAGGGAUGGAUGUGGCCAUGCUCAUCAGUCUGCGUCUCAUUGGCCUCUCAUUUGGCCAUGUUCUUGCUGUCUGCUCUGUGGCCCAGGAGCGAGAGUGUCAAAGAAGAAUCAGCUGUCAGCUCGCCAGCUCCAAGUGCAACAGAAAAGAGCCUCUUUCUUCGUUGGGGGGUUGAAAAAGUCAUUGGUCCUUUUCUGAUGUGUGGUGCUCUGACGGUCAUUAGGAAGUUUGUAAUCAGCAAGGAGAUUUGGAAGAAAAGCUACAAAGCAAAUGAGAUGGUUAAUUUAUGGAUCAAUACCUUUGCAAAAGGGACGUUCUUCGCUGUAAAAGAAUUUCCAGUAACACGUGGUGGGUUAACAUUGUGGGCUCAUCUAGCAUCCUUUGCUAUUGAGCUUCUUGGGGCCACAUGGCUGUUAUGGAGCUUUGGCUUCUGGGAGUCGGACGUUGUAGACAGUUGA